Molecule: long non-coding RNA, 877 nt
Filed under: Chrysemys picta bellii (western painted turtle)
Lineage: Eukaryota; Metazoa; Chordata; Testudines; Emydidae
Description: lncRNA (ENSCPBG00000001133.1)
Source: RNAcentral
AUGAGGGGCACCCUCCUAAUUCUGAAGAAAGACCAAGAAGAAAUUUGUAUGAAGAGAGUCUUACAGAUCGUUUUCUUUUCAGAGUCUGUAAUCAUGGAGAAUACACCAAGGAAUGUAACUGGCUCUGAGUCCUCAGAGACAGUGAAUCCUCAAGCACCAGCUGGUAACAUGGCAUCACCAAGACGUAGUGCUGAGGAACCUGUGGGAAUUGCCAACAGAGCCGCUCCAACAACAUCACCAACCAGAAGGAUUGCCAUGAAAAGUCAAGAAUUACUUGAGGAAACUGAUACGGAAGAACCAUUAUUUGAACAUACGGAGUCACAGGUAUGUAGCUGGGCCUGGGCUGAGAUUGUAUCAUUAGCAGGGGGGAUGCGUGGGCAGAAUUAGGAGAGGGCUGGGGACACACUAGGUCCCUGUUCAUUAUUUCCAGCCCCAGGCUGGCUCCUGUAUCAACCUUGGUCUCUUUCUGUUCCUACUCAUCACCUCACCAUAGGGGAUCUCCCAUCCUAUAACCAUCCCAUCGACCCUUCCCCAGAGCAGCCAGCCGAGACCCUUCUCCACUGAUCUACAAGGCAGGACUGAACGAACCUUAGUCCACUGUUUUCCCCCUGCCUUAUUGGAAUCCAGCCCCCUCCACCUUCUAGCAUCCCUCCUCCACAAUGGACCUGCUGCCUGUGAGACAGUCAGGGGAGGGUGAAGGGAGCUGCACUUGUUGGAUUUUAAUGCUGUUUGUUUGCACCAGAUCUCCAAAGAAUCUCCUCAGACAAAGAGAUGCUCCAGGCAGGAACCCCAGGUAAUUACCCCUGUGAGAUGAGUGUUUGUGCAGCAGCAGGGGAUGCAGGACCAGGCAGGGCUGGGCAGGGCAGAGGGCGUGGGU